Non-coding RNA from Triticum aestivum (bread wheat), 56 nucleotides. NCBI's taxonomy places the organism in Eukaryota, Viridiplantae, Streptophyta, Magnoliopsida, Poales, Poaceae. The record is from Rfam.
GCUCAGUUGGUAAAGCACAAGGUUCUUAACCUUGUGGACGUGGAUUCAAGCCCCAU